AGGAAAAAAUAAGGAAAAAGAAAAAAGGUCCAAUUGAACAGCCUUUGCGAAACUAUGCUGCAGGUCCUACCUUUCAAAGAAUCGCAUCCAGUGCUCUCUUCCACAGCGCCUUCUCUGGGUCCCUUCUUCCCUGGAAAUCUGAGGAGCAUUUUUUAACCUCACGUAUGACCUGUAUCAUUGCAUAGAGAGUGAAAUCUCUUUCGAAGACAGGCUUUAUGCUUGAAUCAUUUUUUCAUUCCUUCAAAGUGCUUACAUAGAGAAGGACAAUGAAUAAUUCGAUGAGUGAAUGAACGUACAGCUAACAAAGUCUUUGCAACAUGACUUCUUAAGCCAAUUCUUUCACAUAGUUAGAAGAGAUUAAUUAUUGUUCACAGAAUUUCCUGGAAGGAUGUUAGAUAUGAGUUAAACUGGUCAAUAAUGACAGGAAAAAAACCCUUCUAGGGAGUAUGGUGUUUUGCUCUUGCUAAUCAGAUUACACAGAGCAGACUUUGGGAAAGUAUCAGCAUACAGAGCUGAGAGCAGGCCCGAUUACGUGUGUCACUACUAUAUAUUGUCAUUUGUGUAUUAUGAUUCACAAUUAGAUAGCUCGAGUUCUAACUGCCUGGUAAACAUAAGCAAGGAAAGAGAAAAGAUCUGUUAGGAGGAAGAAAAAAAAAGAAAAGUGCUUAAUGCUUCAGAAAGUUGGUAACUGAAAAAUAUUUUACAUUCCAGCAAUGCACUUAUCCUUGUCGUGUACCCUACAAACAUUUACCUUCAACACGAGCAUCAUAUGGUUCAGAGUCUGGCUUCUCAAUACCUUUUAACUUAAGAGAGAGAGUGUCCAGUUGUGGCUGAGGCUCAGCCUCGGAAGGUACAGACCGUAAAAGGCACACAGUAAAUAGAUGACAAAGACCAAGCCAGGAGCCACGUCUCCUGCUCCAGAGUCAAUGUUCUCGAAACCACACCGCUGCAAGGAAGCGCAGAAAGCUGAAGGAGCACCUGAUGGAAAGAUGUUUCCGUGAAGCAGAACAGAGAAAAGAGUGACCUCCGACGGCUGAAGCAGAAGGUUGUUUUUUUUGAUCAUGACACAUGAAAUUAAAGGUCCUUAUAUUCCACAUCAAAUAGGGAGUCUGUGCUAAGUUCCUAUCUGACUUCAUGUAAGUCACAAGAUUUAGCUGAUGACACGGCCCCAUGAGAGACAGCCGCAGCCAUCUUACAUCCAGCCAGCUGCCCCCGGGAGCCUUUCUCAUGGCCAAGGCACCACACUGCAGGAAAAAAUGUAAGAGAAUUGAACCACGAAGAGAAAAAAGGUGUGUUGAAAUUGGCUCUGUCACCCGCGGAGAUAAGAUCAUGCCAUCAAGGAAAAGAUGCCGUUCCAUCUGUCUUCGAGAAAUCCGAUCACAGACUGAAACACAGUGCUUCCUUCUCAAGGUCUGGUGGAGACAGAAAAAGCAGGCAGGUUCCAAGCGGCACCACAGGAGAAACGCCCACACCUGCAGGCUGUUUUAAGCCGUGGAUGGACAACACAGUAAAAUAAAAUGAGACUCCACAUCUAACUUCUCUGACACUGCUUACUCCAGCAGGACUUGGUGCAUGUCUGACGGGAAGGCCUUUGCUGUUAAUAUUUAAAAAAUGAAAUGUGUGAAUGGUAGCUGACUCCCGUCCACCUUGUAGUAUAAGGAUUUAGAAGUCACUACUGGAAAAAACAUGUUAGAUGUUUUGUAUCCCUGGGGUUCCUUACAUCUUUAAAAGGUCUGCUUAGCACUCCUGGAGGUCACAGCUCUCAGAGCCAAUCAAAGACAUCUUGAGCUUUGCUCUGCACUGUAGCUGUUUUCCUACUUGCCACACUGCCUGACUAGCGACAAUCAAAUAUGUCGCUACACCAUCGACAGAUGCCCCUUCCUAUCGGUGUUCCCCGGCCGUACAGGGCUCCCCGGAGUUUGCCAGCCCAGUUUUCAUUCCGUUCCAAUACAGCAGUUUUUACUUUACAAUGUCCACUCCUCUGUAGUUAACAUCACUUAUCCAACAAUCAGCAGAAAUUACUUCCGCGAGCAAACGCGUUCUUCCACGGGAGCUCAGACCAGCGAGUCCAGAAUGCCACUCUAGCGGAAGAAUUCUGACACUUUAAAAUAUUCUCCCCUGUCAAGAACACUUCGUAUCCAUUUCAAGGUCUAGAUUCCUGUCCAUCAAGUGGCCCCACUUCGAUGACCAACAAGCAAACACAUACUCAUCUGAGGACUAAGUACUUUUUCAUGGUACUGAGCAGGUAGCACUGCCUUGUUAAGGGUGAACACAGGGGGGCACCUGAGCACACUGCCUAGCACAGAACAAGCAUUCAAAGAAGUUAAUUCUCUCUCCUUAACUUCUUUUUCCUCUAUUUAUUUUAGAUCUUCAGACUUUGAGAGGCCCUUACUUCAUACCACUAACCAAAUCUUAAUGUUGUUGUAAACUCUUAGAUUUACAAUUAAAGGAAGAAAUUAAACCCUAGGCCAAGAUGUGCAGCCUAUCCAGAUAACUCACUUAGUUUUGGAAAUACUGAAACUGAAGUAGAAGAGAGAACCCCAAUUUAUAAAUUAUUUGUGUAUCCAAAGUUCAUUUGUAAAGUGGUAUAAACACCCUUUUCCCUAGAAAUCAUGAUGUUAUAUUUAGGAUCUCAGGCUAUCCCACAAAAGCCUAUUUAACCCACCAUAUACCUGAACGAUAAUACUAGCGUUUUCGCCUGGAUCCAGCACAGCGCCUUGGACAUCAGCAGGCACUCAGAUGCCUGCUGGAUAAAGUGAGGAAUUCCCGCAGCAGUGGGAAAGGUGCGCAGCUGGCGCUGCAUCAAAUCUUUAUAGAGUCCAAGUCUGUGUUUCUCUUCCUCCCCCCUCCCUGCUCCUUUGCUAGUCCUCUCUUCCCUAAGUGACCAGGGCCCUCACAUCGUACAUAUUCUAAAGUCAGCACCUCACAAGAGCGCCAGCUUUUAAUGUUUCAAAGGUAACUGUUCCUUCUCCCUGCCAAAGUUAUCUCAAGCAGCUGAUCUCAUCUGUACAUCAGGAGGGAAGAAAUCUGAUUACAUUAUUUCACAAUGAGAUGUGAACAUCUGUAAACAUUUCACAAUGAAUUCUGCACUUUAACUUGUCCAGAGAUUUCCGACUCUAAAAGAUGCCUGACUGCCCAAACAAACCUACUUUUGUGCAGAGUAAAGAGAAAUGAAUGAAAUGGGUCUACACAGCAGAGAGGAAUACUGCUUGGGGGAGUGUUUCUAAGAUAUUUCUGCUUUCAAAGCAACUUCCUUCUCCCCUGACACUUUGAAAUUAGUGCUUUUUCACAAGUUCCCUAACUUCUUCAACUUCCCAUUGUCAAGCAGGUGUAUGACACUGCUGAUGAACAGAGUGUGCAUGGGGACCGUGUAAGAUGAGUCUGGACUGGACAGGGAUUUUCCCAACUUCAAACAUAAGCCAAGGCAUUCAAGAUUCAACCCGGUAUGUCCUGAAAACAUAGCCACCUCCCAAGCCAGCAGCAGAAGCUACAGGGAAGAUUCAGAUGGUGACACAGGCCAGAAUUCUGGUCUUACUCACCCUGGCAUGGCCAACAGGGCAUAUUAGAUAUCUCAAAAAACAAAAGUGUCAGGGGGGAGAAGGGAAUACCACAUAUCUCCAAUAAACCCUUUUGUUUGUGGGGGAGAACGAACCAGAAUUAAGAAUCAACAAAUGUAUCCUAAAUUAGAACAAGAAAGCGGGCAAAGAAGGUAAAUACUUUUGGAAAAAGAAGUAAAAAAAAAAAAU
Non-coding RNA from Equus caballus (horse), 3746 nucleotides. NCBI's taxonomy places the organism in Eukaryota, Metazoa, Chordata, Mammalia, Perissodactyla, Equidae. The record is from RefSeq and is a predicted model, not a curated record.